CGCCCAGGAGCCACUCAAAUAAGGGAACAUUAUCCACACCAACCCAUUAGAUUAACUCAAGGCCUUAGAGAGACACGACUUUCCCAAACGUCCAAGUUCAAUGGAGGCUAUCCGUUGUCUAAGUCCAUCAUCUCUUCCAUCUCACCCAUUCCUCAACAACCAUGCAACCCAACCAAGAAGAGGCACGCAGCUGCUCGUCCCCAUAAGAACGCCCAAACAAGGAUAUCCUCUACGUUCCCAUUCUACAGUUCAGACUCAAGCUCUCAACAAUGUCCUCGGUGUAGCUGCCAAAUCCCCAGCAGGCGGAGGGGAUAUCUCAGUCCUUAUCCCAAUCAGUGCAGUGAUGUUAUUUAUGUACUGGAUUACUAAUUUUGUUGUGCCGGGGAUAAUAAGCAAAGACUUUCCGCCAGCAGCUUCAGAAGAAGAGAAGGCAUCAGAACAAGAAGCAGAAAAGCAAACCCGAAGAUAAAGAAGGGCCAAAUUAAGAAAACAACCAGUCCGAGAUAAAUUUUUAAUUCCACGCGCUCUAAACUAUCUGUCAGUUAUGAUAUUAUCAUAAGUGUAUGAUUCUGUAAUCAAAAUUCCAGAAGCCUCAAUAAUAGAAAUGACUUCAACAGCUUUAACCAUGCUGCAGCAUUCCAACUUCCGAUAGCUUUGGGUAGAAUUUGAAGAGUUUUUCUUGUGAUAGUCUUCUGUUCUGACCUUUGAGUAGGAUCACCUACCACAAGGGCAGGGUCCAGCAGUGGCAAACACUGAUGGAUAAGGCAGCAUCCGUUACCUGCCCAAGCCUGUCAAAAAUAGAUGCACACCAACUACUGGGUAUGUGUAGCCAAAAUUGGUUUGAGAGGAAUUUCACAACUUGCGGUAACCAGCAACAAAGACACGUUAGUGGUAACGCAGGACAACAGCAUGGUCAGAUAGCCAAAUUAACCCACUGACUGGAAUGCAGAAGCUUUGCUGAGGAAGAACAUACCGACGGUUCUAGCAUAAAUAUUAUGACUUGGAGACAGUUUUACUGGAAGAUCAGAUGAAUCUCUACCGUCAAGACUGGCUUCUUUCAGUAUAGAAUCCAGUGACUCUUUGGCAAUAGUUCGGCACCGUUUCCUGGCAAUACAACAAUUAAUAACUUGUAACUUCUGAUGCAGGAGACAGGAAUUCAAGUCAGGAUCUGCAUCUAAUGGCACUCGAGGCACCGGUUGUCCUUCUGACCAAAAUUUCCUCAGCUGCGGGUACAAAGAAGACAGUUAUGGCCAAGAAUAGAAUGCAAAAGUUUCUUGCAAGUUUAUUAAUUAUAAAGGGAAAAAUAUAUGAAAAAUGCUAUCAAUUUUACAGUACAUGAAAAAAGCCAUCUACUUACUUCGACAAUUACACACCGCCAAAAUGAUGCCAUUUUUUGCAGGGAUUUAAAGCCCCCAAUAAUUUGAGAAAGUCGGACAACAAAACUUUCGGGUGGUGCACCAUGGAGAUCCUUAAGCAAACUGGUUGUAUGAAGAAUCUCUAAGCUAGAACCAUUGUUCCUCAGGGGAAAGUGUUCCUCUGCGAGUGUCUUGCAAAUAUUACAAUUAAGCAAAGGAUCAUAAUGUGACACACUCACACUGCAAAACUUUUAGGUGUACUAAAAUUGCAGUACAGGAAAGUAGAUCAUUACUGUCAUGAACCUACCUGACUCGAACAGAGAACAUAUCAAAGAAUGGAAUUCCUCAUCA
Long non-coding RNA from Elaeis guineensis (African oil palm), 1706 nucleotides. RefSeq lists it as uncharacterized. Lineage: Eukaryota; Viridiplantae; Streptophyta; Magnoliopsida; Arecales; Arecaceae. The record is from RefSeq and is a predicted model, not a curated record.